GAUGAACGCUGGCGGCGUGCCUAAUACAUGCAAGUCGAGCGAACGGACGAGAAGCUUGCUUCUCUGAUGUUAGCGGCGGACGGGUGAGUAACACGUGGAUAACCUACCUAUAAGACUGGGAUAACUUCGGGAAACCGGAGCUAAUACCGGAUAAUAUUUUGAACCGCAUGGUUCAAAAGUGAAAGACGGUCUUGCUGUCACUUAUAGAUGGAUCCGCGCUGCAUUAGCUAGUUGGUAAGGUAACGGCUUACCAAGGCAACGAUGCAUAGCCGACCUGAGAGGGUGAUCGGCCACACUGGAACUGAGACACGGUCCAGACUCCUAAGGGAGGCAGCAGUAGGGAAUCUUCCGCAAUGGGCGAAAGCCUGACGGAGCAACGCCGCGUGAGUGGUGAAGGUCUUCGGAUCGUAAAACUCUGUUAUUAGGGAAGAACAUAUGUGUAAGUAACUGUGCACAUCUUGACGGUACCUAAUCAGAAAGCCACGGCUAACUACGUG
RNAcentral lists this ribosomal RNA (497 nucleotides) under uncultured bacterium. RNAcentral's name for it is "partial 16S ribosomal RNA". It matches the Rfam family "Bacterial small subunit ribosomal RNA", at positions 28 to 507 of the family's 1533-position model. The record is from RNAcentral.